UUUAUGCUGAAUUAUAUAGUGUUUACUUAUGUUAGCAAUGCUGCAGCUCAAUUCCUUCUCAAUCACCUUCCUGAUGUGUUUGAUGAUCUCCAGUAAUUGGUCAUUACAGUGAAUGGCUGUCUGAUGGACUACCACUUUCCAGUUUUAGCUUCCAUUCUGACGCGAUCGCCUGAUUUAGAAUCUUUGUCCAAGACUUGCAAUGAAAAUCGAUAUCAACCUGACUGUUCCAGGAAGUUGAAGAAUAAGACAACCCAGUUUUGCAAACAGAGAGAAGGAUUUCGCAACCUAAUCGUCACCAACGGCAAGAAAUAGAAAUAGAGCUGAAAGGAAAAGGUCAUCAGGUUGGGGUUGUGGAAAACAUGCUUAAGAUUGCCAAAGGGUCGAAGAAGAUGAUCAUCAUUUCCUCAAAGGCAAACUCGAAAUCGCUGUCAAAGACGGGCUACAUAAUUCCAGGGCAGCAUUUUAUUGUUCGAUUUGAAUUUAGUUGAGAAAGAAUUUCACGUUGGAGAAUACAAGAGGACUGAUUUUCGUUGCAAAUUGAUUGCAGUGAAUGAACGUUUUUAUGAAUAAUCUUGGGUUGUAUUUAUUUAGUAUUUCAAAAUAAAAAAAAAUAAACUCAAAAAAGAUAAAAUAUGUUUAGUUAAAAAGAUAAGUUUAGAAUAGUACUUCCUUUCUACUUCCUCAUUUCCGCCGCUGCUCAAAAAACCCAGUCGACCCAACCCUUUCUUUCCUCCUUGAAACCGCAUAAACCAGCCGAUUAUUCCUCCUCCAAACCCAGCAUCCUUAGUGUUUUUUCUCCAAAAAACCGCCGUCUCCAACGCGAUUUGUAGCCUCCACCGCCUCGACCACCACUCCUCAGUCGACAAAUCUAGUUGCAGUGAUGAGGCCAACGUUGGAUUGCUUAGAGAUAAUGAGAAGGUCAAGAUACUCUUGUUGUUUUGUUACAAUAGUAUUGCAAUAGGAAGCGACGACAGCAUUUCAGACUUCAGACUCCUACAAAUGGUGAAUGCCACUAAAGGGUUGUUCAUAUCCUGUGACAUACCUAUGGCACAAUUCAUCAUCAAUUUGAAUGCUUCGCUACCGGCAUCACAGAAGUUCAUCAUUCAUAUUUUGGACAGCUCUCACAUGUUUGUUCAACCCCAUGUGUCUGAAAUGAUACGAAGUGCAAUUGCAGACUUCAGAGAGCAGAAUUCCUACGAGAAGCCUCCUUAAUUAGUCUAUCUUUUCCCUCGUUUAUGGUAUUUGUAUCUUAAACACUCAUUGCACCAUCAUAUCCAUGCUUAAGCUCAUCAAUAUUUCUGUUUGCGUUUGUCAUGCAAUGCAAAUCAAAGCCUUCUUGCUAAUGGAACAAAAUAUCCACAGGCAAUAUCCGUUUAAGUCGGAGUCUACUUGGAAGGGCAUGGAGUUGAAACGUGUUUUCCUGUAUAGCUCCUUAGUAUUCUUGCAAAACAAGAGAGACUACGUGGGGUAUAUUUGCCAUAUUUGCUUUGGCGUCAGGAGGAGUUGAGGUUAAAAUUCAAAUUGAAGUGUCCCUCUUUGAUCAGGUUUCUUGUAGCUUAGAAUCUUUACCUUGAGAGUUCCGUGAACUAAAUGUAAUAUAAGUAUUUUAGCCUCUACAAGUAAGGAUUCUUGAAGCCAUAUAAGUGGCAGGUUGUCCUACACGUUUGUUUCAUCUGACCAGGUCGUUGGCACAUCAUGAAGCAACAUGAAAAAAAUUCUCCCCU
Populus euphratica (Euphrates poplar) is the source of this 1724-nucleotide long non-coding RNA. RefSeq lists it as uncharacterized. NCBI's taxonomy places the organism in Eukaryota, Viridiplantae, Streptophyta, Magnoliopsida, Malpighiales, Salicaceae. The record is from RefSeq and is a predicted model, not a curated record. The transcript has 5 exons.